This 458-nucleotide unclassified non-coding RNA is filed under the name Hevea brasiliensis (rubber tree). Lineage: Eukaryota; Viridiplantae; Streptophyta; Magnoliopsida; Malpighiales; Euphorbiaceae. The record is from RNAcentral.
UUUUUUUUUUUUUUUUUUCUCCAUCUCAAAUGUUUCUGCAUAUCAUCCUUAAAAAAAGAAUUACAAGGUUUAGCUACCUGCUUCAAGUUCAAGUUAUGAAGUGGUUUCACUAAACAAAUUGGCUUAUGAGUUUGUUGGUAUAUACAGAGAAAUCAGAUUGGUCUAUUAACAAUUGUGAAUUAGUAGUAUAACAGUUUCGAGUUCGUACUAAAAUUGAGAAAUUAAUGUUGUAUGCCUAGUUUCUUUUCACAAUGAUUGUUUAUUCUGUUGUUUUGUCCAACUAGGAUAUGCCAAAUGCCGUAGUUUUACUGAGAUGGUGUCUUGUAGAAGGAUAAUAUCAGGUCAUGUGGGAACCAUAGUCCUAUGAGGAAGGUGUGAUUCAUCCGUCAAUUGCCUUUGUUGUUCAUAUUUAGUUAGUAGAUUGUGUAAUCAAUUUAUGCAACGAAUGUUCAAUUUAC